RNA transcript from Orcinus orca (killer whale), 7860 nucleotides. It is a transcript of the gene named DNA polymerase beta, with no coding region annotated. The transcript has 16 exons. Lineage: Eukaryota; Metazoa; Chordata; Mammalia; Artiodactyla; Delphinidae. The record is from RefSeq and is a predicted model, not a curated record.
UUGUUCAGCCAGUCGCGCUGGUUUCGCCGCGUUGGGCUGAUCCUGCGUCCUCUCCAGGUCGCAGCCCCUCCCGAAAGCUGGGCAAGGGGACCCUCCCUGGCUGUGAGCUCUCUGCGGUCCUCGGGUGCAGGCCACUAUGAGCAAACGGAAGGCGCCGCAGGAGACGCUCAACGGGGGCAUCACCGACAUGCUCACAGAACUCGCAAACUUUGAGAAGAACGUGAACCAGGCUAUCCACAAGUACAAUGCCUACAGAAAAGCAGCAUCUGUGAUAGCAAAGUACCCACACAAAAUAAAGAGUGGAGCAGAAGCUAAGAAACUGCCUGGAGUAGGAACAAAAAUUGCUGAAAAGAUUGAUGAAUUUUUAGCUACUGGAAAAUUGCGUAAACUGGAAAAGAUUCGGCAGGAUGAUACGAGUUCAUCCAUCAACUUCCUGACUCGAGUUAGUGGCAUUGGUCCUUCUGCUGCAAGGAAGUUUGUAGAUGAAGGAAUUAAGACAUUAGAAGAUCUCAGAAAAAAUGAAGAUAAAUUGAACCAUCAUCAGCGAAUUGGGCUAAAAUAUUUUGAGGACUUUGAGAAAAGAAUUCCUCGUGAAGAGAUGUUACAAAUGCAAGAUAUUGUACUAAGUGAAGUUGAAAAAGUGGAUUCUGAAUACAUUGCUACAGUCUGUGGCAGUUUCAGAAGAGGGGCAGAGUCCAGUGGCGACAUGGAUGUUCUUCUUACCCAUCCAAGCUUUACCUCUGAGUCAACCAAACAGCCAAAGCUGUUACAUCGUGUUGUGGAGCAGUUACAAAAGGUCCAUUUUAUUACAGACACUCUGUCAAAAGGGGAAACAAAGUUCAUGGGUGUUUGCCAGCUUCCCAGUAAAAAUGAUGAAAAGGAAUAUCCACACAGGAGAAUUGAUAUCAGGUUGAUACCCAAGGAUCAGUAUUACUGUGGUGUCCUCUAUUUCACUGGGAGUGAUAUUUUCAAUAAGAAUAUGAGAGCUCAUGCCCUAGAAAAAGGCUUCACAAUCAACGAAUACACAAUCCGUCCCUUGGGAGUCACUGGAGUUGCUGGAGAGCCGCUGCCCGUGGAUAGUGAGAAGGACAUCUUUGACUACAUCCAGUGGAAAUACCGAGAACCCAAGGAUCGAAGUGAAUGAGGCCCAUCCUCCCCGGCACAGCCCAAUAGUUGCCUGACUUCGACAUGAUAGUCCAGGACCACAGUCACAGCGCUGGAAGAUUUCUGGAGCUUGUGCGGUAUCUUUGUGCGCUCUCCUAGAGCAGACCUGUCCCUCCAAUGGGACCGGUUUACAAAUUUUAGUCCAAAAAUGACGAGCACAGCAAAGUCCAGGUCCACAGUCGAAAGUUCUAAGACAGCUUUCUCCCUCUUGUCCUGUAACGAGAUUGAUACGGGCUUUAGUAAUAAGCAGGGGGAAUGGUGGCUUGUGAGGGCAUGACUGGGUUAGGGCGUGGGGUGUAGGAUAAGGUCGCAAAGUAAAGAUAGAGCAACAGCAUGCCUGGCUCCUGGGCUGAAAGCAACAAUGGAGUGGACAUCUCUGUCUUCCCAAACACAAUUUACUGCUUUAUAAAGUUAAAACAUUUAUUAAAGAAAGAUGGGAUUUCCAGUCUUGAGACAUGAAAUAAGUAUCACUCAUCAGUGUUUUAUUAAAUGGGAUUUGUACUGACCCAAAGAGAGACCACUACUUACACAGGGGGCAACCAGCCGCCUUCAACAAACAAGAAUGGCCAAUUCACCACCUUCAAAAUCCUAGCUGCUUUAUGUCAGAGACUGGAAUUUGAGACUACAAUUUUGUAAAAAGCAUCUUAGUGAAGUUUGUAUUUUGUCCGAGAAUGAAACGUUAUUGCAUCUAUGUUCCUCUCUCCUUUAUUUUGUAUUCUGAGGAUCUAGAAAGGGAAAUUUCUAUUUGUUAAAUUAUAGGCUAUAAAAAGAUGUGCAUAUAAAAUUUAAUUAAACAAUUAAAGGCUUUCUUGCUAAUCAGCCCGUUAUUAUAGCUAUUCCCCGUCCUCUUGGCCUGCCAACUACCUUGUGCUCUUACCCCCAUGAUCCCCAUAGCUGUUUAUGGAAAGAGAUUGGAAAUAGGACAUGCUCCCUAGGUGUUUCCGGGGUGGAGAGGCAUAAGUCAGUUUCAGCCUAUCCUUAAGAGCCUAGGAGGAGAAAAUAUUUUUCUUAAAAAAAAAAAAAAAUAUAUAUAUAUAUAUAUAUAUAUAUGCUUAGAAUGCUGCUGUUACCCUUACUGCCUUGUGAUUUUUUAAUAUUUGGCUUCCUCUUGGGUUUGUUUUCCUGAAUUGGGUGCUCAUUUGUUCCUUGUGUAUCUGUGUCGUCUUGGUCAUCGAUCUGCCUCUCCAGUAUUGGGGUUGCAUCUUCCAUUGCAGUGCAAACAUCUGAGAGACAAGCAGGUGGAGUUAGAGGAUGAGAACCACAGACAGGCUCAUUAUCAGACUGUCACAGGGUUUGGCAGUACUUCCGCCUUCAGUUUCUGUAUAACUUUCUAGAUUUCCGGGACACAGGCACUAAAUAUUUACAUCUCACAUAUGGCAAAGCAGGUGCUUAAGUAAUUAAUGGAAUCUAAGUGAAAACAGAAGAACUUGAAAGAUUCCAACUUGAACCCUUGCUUUAAAAUCAUCUCCAAGUUGCUGGCAAGAGUUGUUGCCGGGAAAGAAACUAUUUUGCUGCAUCGGGAAGAGGCAGCUGCGGAGAACCACUUUGGAGCCUUUAGAGAGUGCCUGUCGUGGAAUACCCUAGUCUAAGAGACCCGGAUGCUGUGUCUGCUCUUUGGGAGCGCUGCAGUUCUGCAAGUCUUCGUGCUGACUCACCGUUCACGCAGAGCGUCCCCGGGCAGCACACGGCAGCCCACUGGCACCACCUCCGUAAUCCACGACAGGUAGCACAGGAUGGCUUCUCAUCCUGGGGUUUGAGGCAGAAUUUUCUAGUGUUGCAGUCUUUGUCAGACAUGCACUGUGAACCCUGUAAAGAGAAGCUGUUGUCACAGGGCUAGGGAAUCCGGCGAGAUGUAAAGAGUUUUUAUUCCAGGCAGGAGAUGGAGAAAGCCAAAAAGAGAGGCACUUUAAACACUGAGGCAAACCUCAAGCAGCAUCUUGACUUUUCACUAGAAUUGGUUUUCUUUCACAAAGGGGAGAGCAAAUCACCAACGAAGAGACCUAUGUGCUGCAAACGUUAUUUGUGUCUGAAAAAUUGUCCUACUUUUAAACAUAGAAUUUCAUCUUUUAUGCUCUCUGUGAAAAUGGAAGAAAAUGUUUUCCCACGUGUGUCUUAGAGACGGUUAUGAGAUUUUUGAUAUGUAUCUAGAAGCUCUAGAUGCUGUGCGAUAGUUUAAAGAAGUGUUGGUGUUUGUGGCAUCCCUAUUUGACCGUUUUACUCCAGUGAAUCACAUCAGUCACCAUUUGCCAAGUAGGCCCCUCAGUGGGCCAACCCAACCAUCCUUUGGUUUCUAGUGAUGCCUCAUUUGCAGAGAAACAGAUACCGAAGACUGAUUUCUCUCAUCUUCGGUUGAUGGUUUUUCAUAUGUAUAUGAAACAUUUCCUAUAAAACAAUUCUGUGAAGUGAGAGGGUUGGCACGCAGCAUGUAACUUCUGACUCCCAUGUUCCCUGGCUGUGUGGCCUUGGUUAAAUCCCUCAGCGUCUCUGAGCCCAUUUCCGCCAUCUGUCAUUAGGAGAUGUGAUAGCUGUCUCAAGCUCUGAGGAAGAGGAGAUGAGAUAGUAUGUAUAAAAGGCCUGGCACGUGGUGUAUAGCUUUCUAAAUGUUAGCUUACUCCCUGAUUUAUAGGUGAAUUGAUAGCCCUGAAAUUCCAUGCCCUGAAAAGCCACUUGGCUCAUCUGGUGAGUUAAUGCUAAAGCGACUGGAUUCUUCCAGGGUGCCUUCCACAGCCUCCAUCCGGCCCACCGUCUAGAUGAGCUACUUCAGAUGCUCAUCUGCGUGAUGGCUUCACUCGAGCCCAGCGCCCAGCCCUCCUCCUCUACCGAGCGUUACCUUCCGGGCUCCUUGCGCAUCCACAGAGCUCUUGCUGUUGACAUCCAGAACCAGGGCUCCCAGGGGGGCGCACAGCCAGCCAAGCCGCAGCAGGAUCAACACCACCAUCCUGGACCUUCUCAGCCCUCCCUGCAUCCUCCUCGAAGCUGGGCUGCUCUGAACCCACGAAAUGGGAACUCGGCAAGUCGCCCUGAGAUUGCUUUUUCUGAAAGAGAAGCAAAUCUUCGUUGGAGGAAGGUGUGUGAAGUCAGGCGAGCGAGGUCUGACCGGCGGGUUCCCUCUGAAACUGUUUAUAGACGUGCCCCCUCCUUUCUCUCCUCCUCCUUCCUCCUCCCUUUCCUUCCUUCUUACCCCACACAGGCUCCAACAAAUCCCCUCAAAUCUGUUUGAUCAAUAGUUCAAAACGAGGACUCAAUAGAGGGGGAGCAGAGGCAGGGCUGCAGCCACUGCUCCUCCAGGGGUUGAACCCCUCUUAAUCACUGCAUAUCAAAGUCAGUUCAAAGGGCCAGCGGAAGAGCAGGAUGUCUGUAUCAAAAGCAAACUCUGAUAAUCACCUGCAUUUCCUACCUUCAGUAAUCCUGUGAGGGUGGAGGGAGUCUGCUCUAAGAUCUGUUUUCACAGCUAGUUGUGCUCCAAGAAAGGAUGAAACCUGUUAGCCAAUACGCUCUGCGGGAUGCCAAAAACUAAUGAGUUACAAAAAAUAUACUGAGAAACUUUACACUGUGCUCAGAUAGUGAAGACAGACAGAAAAGAGACAAAAUGCCCCCUGCGUGUCUCUGGUGUUCAGAUGUAAAAAUCCCAAUAGCUUAAGAGCUGUGAAUGUAACAGCACCUGUCCCGACUAAAUGUCAAUUGGAAAAUAAUUCUCCUUAAAAUGAAAAUGGAACUGUUUGAAGUUAGGAUUAUUUAAUUAGGAAGAUAAUGAUUUUAUAAAAAUUGCCUUUUUUUAGUGAUAGGGACAACUGCAGAAAGCCCAUUUUAUAUACAGUUUUAUACAAUUUAAUAGGAAGUUUAGGUGUAUUUUAUGAGCAAUGGAUUUAAUUUGUGUUGUAUGAUGUUGAAGUGACUUAAGCAGAACAGGCUUCAAGACUGUAACUCAUUUCAGAUGGGAUUUCAUGCAUUUUCAAGUUUCCUAAUCUGAAUUUUUAAAAAAUGCUUCAUCCCUUUUUCUCUGAUUUUUUUUUUCCAGCCAGACUGUUAGCAAAGUCGAGUGAUUUAGACACGUGCUUAUCACUGCCUAAGUCCUUUAAGGGUAGAUCUGGGUCCCCAAAUCCCUUCAUUGUUUGCUUUGUUCUCAGGGUAAAUUCAUCCCCGUACCUGGGGUGUAAGGCGCCGUUUAAAAUCUACCAGUGCCCCUUAUCUAUGCCAUCAAUGGUAACCUUGGUGUUACUGGGUCUUCCUCCAAAACACCUGACAUCAGUCCGUCAAGAGGUACCUGGACAUUCUGUGCCAGGGGACCAUUCCCAGCCUCGAGGGACACCUGGAGCCCAGUGGCUGGGGCAGGUGACCUGAGGAUCCAUUACCUGGCUCUCUUCCUGGGGUUGGAUGCCUGUCCCCAUCGUGUGGCACAACGGAGCUAUUUCUUCUGCAAGUACUACUUGUUUUCAUGUAAACUGAGAGCAUCAAACACCCUUUGAUAGUAGGAUACUCCUGGUGACUAGGGGUGUUCCAGAAUUUAUUUUGAAGUUGGACAAUUAUGGCCAAACAUAAAAGAGAGAGCCCCAGGGUUCGCUCUCUGCUGGGUUUCCCUGCUUCUUGUUACCUGACAGAAGAGAGAAUACCAGGGCACCAGAGGCCUCUGGCAAAACACACAGACAAAAAGGACUGGAACCAAACGUUCACUGAGUACUUUGUACUUAACAGAACCUAUGUGUAGGUGUUGGGAAUAAAAGAUAAAACACAGUCCUUGCCCCUGAGGGGUUAGUGUCCAAGAAGAUCUACAUGUAGAGAUGAUUUUGAUAUAUUAUAACAAGCACUAAGAUAAAGAUAGAAAUGUGGGGCUGAAGGAUCACAGGGGAGGGUGUGAUUAGACCUUCUGAAGGAAUGAAGGAAUGCCUCUACAGAGAUGGUGACUGGUCAUUUGAGCUGGGUUUUGUGGGAUGAGUAGGAGUUUCCUAGGUUGAGAAGUAGGGGAUGGUCUUACCCCAGGCUCAGAGGGUGAAGUGUGUGCAGGGGCAGGGAGGUGCAUUUUGGUUCUAGAGAAUCUGUGUGGCUGGGGCAGAUGGUGGAGAGACAAGAGGAGGCUAGACUGUGAGGAACCUGAUAACAGGCAAAGGACACCGGGUAUUAUUUCAUAUGCAGUAGAAAGUCAUCGGGGGAAUAUUUGAACUUGAAAAUGGCAGGAUCUAAUUUGCUUUUUAGGAAAGCAGUGCUGGCGGCGGUGUGGUGCUAGGGUGCAGUGGAUUGAAAGCGGAUGCUGGGCCAGUGAAGAGAAGGACGAGGAGGCAGAGGAGGGCCAGUGUAAGGCAGUGACACGGUGACCGUGAGAACCAACCAAGGAUGGGAUUGGGCACUUGAGUCCCUACCAUUUGAUGUGGGGGGUGGCGGGUGAGCGAGACAGAAGAGCUGAGGUUACCCUGACAUUUCUAAUUCCACGCACAGGUGGAUGGCUAUGGCACUGAAGAUGGAAUUCAGGAUGGAAAGCAGAUUGGGGGGGGAAGGGUGACACGAUCCAAAUCAUCAAGGCUUUGCUGGGUAUCUUAACAUGGAAGAUGGAAGAUUAACCCCCGUGUCUUCCAGGAGCGAUGCUCCCACAGACCAAGAGGGGUCAGGGCCUGGAUUUCCCAGACGCAGACAGCAGACCACGUGCAGAGCCCACCGCCCCCACGGGGAGCCGUGGCCCCGCUAGCCACACAACGAAGGAAGCCCCCCGUGCACUUCCGGCCAGGAUGCUGCCACGGGGCUCCCCCUGGCAAGGACUGUGGGCCACCUGGCAAGCCCGCGCCUGUCCUCCUCGUGCCUCCGGGUGAAAAUUCUCGAGAAGAAAUUCCCCGGGGCUCCUGGUUCAGCACGGCGGGGGAUGCCAGCCCCCCGGGUGACUCCUGGCCAGGGCCGAGGUGCGGCGUGGGCUGGUGUGUGGGUGUGACACCUGCAUCCUCCGGGGACAGCUGCUGUAGCUCCCGGAGCUCACGGCAGAGGCGGCGCCGUGAGUUACGUUCACUCCGGAACGGACAGUUUUAUUUGUUACGUCUCCUGUGUCGGCACCAGUGUGAUUUCCAUACACUUUGCUUUUCUUAAAAGCAAAUCAAAGGAGCCGAAACAAGCGGGUCUUUGGCAGGCUCUCACGGGAAAUGGUCAGUAAAUGAAAGAUGAGGGGGCAGGUUGAUGAGGGGAGACAAAGAUUGCAGGAUCUGUAUAAUCACAGCGCUGGUGUAAGCACUGCCGCUGAGGUACCUGAGGUCAGGAGGCACGUAGCUGCCGGCCCAGGAAGCGGGUUUAUCAGAUGUCUUGCCCCUCAGGGCGGGCCCGCUUCCAGAAACAGCCUGGGAGACUGGGUCCUGCUCAUCACCAAUUGUGUGGCCUUGGCUAGCUCACGUACCUCUCAGCCUCAGCUCCUCGCGGCCUGCAGGGCUCCUCCAGACCAGUUUUCCGGGAGUGUGUGAUGCCGGGCGGAGGGGGAGGAGGGGUUGGGGGGUCAGCCACCAUGAGGCUCACCCCAGCGGCACCACGCAGACCGGCGUAUGUGUGAGCGGCUCCCUCUGGAGUUGGCCAGCCAACCACGUGGCGCUGGGACCUGCCUUUCCCGUAAGGCAGCCUCCGUUCUCCUGAUCCCAACCUGGCGUCCAGCUGGAAACAGCACCAGGGGCCCCGAGCUUCCUUUGUCAAGGUUGUGCUCUGCCUUCUUUUUGCUUAAAAAUAUUAGAUGAU